RNAcentral lists this long non-coding RNA (6745 nucleotides) under Glycine max (soybean). Its description in RNAcentral is "long non-coding RNA (GMAX_LNC001222)". Lineage: Eukaryota; Viridiplantae; Streptophyta; Magnoliopsida; Fabales; Fabaceae. The record is from RNAcentral.
UUUCUUUCACAUUUGGGUAAAUCAAUUAUCACAUUCAUGCUGCCCAACCAAAUCAACUCCUUCUAGGCAGUGUUUGAGUUGAACUGGGCAACUAAAAAUAUAACCCACUCUCUCUCGUAUAUAUCUCAUCAAAUUAUCACUAUUUCUUCCUUUUUCUACUUCUUCCAAGUGCAGGAAAACCCCAAGGAGUUGUGGGUUGUUGAACAGUUGAAGCUAUUAAUCAUGAUGUUGGAGUAUAAAUUUUAUCUAUUUGUAUACCCUUAACUUGUUACAUGGUCUUUUUGUUAGAUUUUUUUCUGUAAUAUAUAAGCAAUCUGCUUCAUGCUCUCUCUCUCUCUCUCUCUCUCUCUCUCUUAUUUAUUCUAAUUUUGUGAUUAUGGGAUGACAGAACGUUGAUGAUCCUGAUCAGGCAAACAAUGCAGAACGUGGACCAUGUUCAGAUCCACAUGCUAUUUUUGAGGACUUAGGAGACCUUAACAGCUUGGUUGGAUUGGGAGAAGGCAGUUUUUCCUGUGGCCAGAAAAAUGAAUAUACUACAAGCGCAAUGCUUUAUACAGGUGAUAUAUUUAGGUCUUGUGACCAUGACUUUUUGGAGUUGAUUGACCUAGAGACGCCGCCACCGCUCUGGCAGAAUAAACAUGGAAGUGAUAGCCAAGAUAAGUAAGGUUAAAAAAUUGAGGGAAGUAUCCCAGAAAAUUGAUUGAACUAUAGCCCCAAGUACCUAACGUGGAUUAGAAUAAACAAAAGGUUCUCUUCCUGUUCAUUUAAAAACCAUCAUGGCACCAGUUUUCUAUUUGACAUUAAUUUCUGGAAUUACUUGACAAUGAUAUCAACUGACAAGAAUGUUGAUUAAAAUCUAGUUAUUUAUUUUCUUUGGUUGUGUUAUGUUUGAUUAAAAUCUAAUUAUGCUGGAAGUUGUUCCAGACAUUUUUUGCCGUGAAGAUUUAUUAAAACUAUAGUGCAAUUUGAAAAUGGUAUUCGUUAGGGAGAUUUUAAUGCAGUUUGUUUUUGGGCAGGGGGAUUGACUGAAUUGAAAAUUCAAAUUGAUUUUUUUCUUACUGUCCUAUAAGUUUUUUUUUUGGGGGGGUUGGGGGGGGGGGUGCUAAAAGGACUUCGGAGCUCCCAAUAGCAUAAUGAAAGCAAAUUGAUAUGACGCUCGAGGUUUGUCCCGUUUGCUCCCCACCUUUUAUGUUUUUUUAAAUAAAAUAUUUUUGACGGAAUAAGUCUUGGGAUGUAAUGGAAGAGAGAUGUUUGAGGAGGUGGGGUGAGUGUGGAGUGGAGAAUGGGUGAGGGGGCGUAAGGGAAAGGAAUUUCAUAAAAUAUCAAUAGUGGUGAUGGGAAGAUGAAAAAGCUGGAGAAAAUCAUGAAAUCCUUGGUUUGGUAACAGGAAGAAAAGAAGAAACUAUUAUUUAAAUGUUCUCUUUUUUUUAUCAUGAAAUCAUGUGUGGAUUUCACAAUCUUAUCUUUCUACUUUAUUUAAAUGUUCUCUUUUUUAUCAUUCUUUUCUCCUCAACUUCGGGUCUUUGAUUGCCCUUGAAAAAAUGUUUUGAUCAAAAGAAAAUUGAUUGUUCUUUAUUUGAUUGGAAGAAAAAAUAUUUUUUAUUAAAUGGAAUUAUAUUGAACGCAAUAUUCUUUAUUUAUUUUAUUUUGUAAAUUAUUUUUAAAGUAUUAAAUUUUAUACUUUUUACAAGGGAGGUUUUUGUGAAUGUUAAAAAACAUGGAAUCAUGCGUAAUUUUAAAAAUUUUCAGGUGCCAGUAAAUAUUUUUUUUAACUAUUAUAUUAUGAUUUUUUGACUGCUAUUAUAUUAUGAUUAAGAUUAUGGAAAUGCUAGUGUUUUAAAAUUACUUGUUUUUAAGUAAGGUUUUGAUACUACAUUUUCUUAGAAGCUUUUAAAAUAAAAAAUAAUAAAGUGAAAACGUGAUGGUUUAAUGUUACUAGUAAGAAAAAUAGAUGUAAAAAAAAUGAAAAAAAUAAAUAGAAUGUUUCCAUAAAUUGAACAAGUAUUUACAUGUUAGUUACAAAUUUUGUAGUCAAAUCAAUGUGGGAUCAAUAUCUUUGGUGUGUUGUACAUUUAAAAUUUGGGCAAGAAUUCUCUCAAACCGAAUUAAUAAGGUGUUGGACAAACUAAUUAAUCAAAGACAAAGUGUGUUUUUGGGUGGUUGACACUUGGUACAUAAUGCUUUGAUAGCAAAUAAGGUGGUAGGAGACAAAAAGAUUAAAGAAAAAGUGUUUAAUUUUCAAAGUGAUUAUGAUUCAAUGAGUUGGGAGUUAAUCCGGUUGGAUGAUAAAUGGAUAAUGUGGAUUAAAGGAUAUUUGGUGAGUUAAGAAGUUUUGGUAUGUAAAUGAAAGUCCAAUAAAGGAGUUUUUAGUAUCUAAAGGAUUAAGACAAGAAGAUUAUCUUGUUCAUUUCUUAAAAAAAUUUAAAAGCAAAUUUGGCACUAUAAGAGUUGAUGCCGAUGAGAUGGAGAAGUAUGCACAUUUCCUUAAUUGCAAAAUUUUACAUUUUCCUUUUACAUAUUUAGGUAUUCCCAUAGCAGCAAAUCUUAGGUUAGUUGAUGCUUGGAAACCUAAUGUUCAUAAAUUUGAGAAAAAAUUGUCGGGUGAAAACAAAACAAAACAUUGUCUUAUGCGGAGAGGGUAAGUCUUAUUAAUUCAGUCUUGAUCGCUUUGUUUCUUUUUUAUUUUUUCAAAGUUUCAAAUUGUGUGGGGAAAAAACUUAUUAGUAAACAAAGGAAUUUUUUGUGGGGUAGUGAGGAGAGAAAAAAGAAAAUUUGCUGGAAUAAAAUUUGUCAACAAAAAAACAUGGUGGUCUGGGUAUAAAAAAUGUUUUCACUUUUAAUCAAGCUCUUUUGGCAAAAUGGAGAUGGGAAUUAAUGAUGGUAAUAGAGGUUUAUGGAGUGAGGUGGUGGAGUCAGGGGUGGAGAGGUUUACAACUUGAUGGGGUAAAUAAAAAAUCAUCAAUUUGGUCGAGAAAUCUGUAUAUUGUUUGUGGAGGGCAAUCAUCUUCAAAGUGGUUUGAUAUUUCGGUUGAGUGGAAAGAGGGGAAGGGAGAUAAAAUCUUGUUUUAGAGUGACCCUUGGGUGAGUGAGGAGAGUUUAGCACAUAAAUAUCUUAGACUUUUUCUAAACUUUUGCCAAAAAGGGGAAUACCUAGGAAAUGUUGGUGAGUGGUGAGGGGAUGAGUGGAAGUGGAACUUAGUGUGGAGGAGGGAGUGGUUUGAAUGGAAGAAUGUAGAUGUUGAAAGAUUUUAUAGGGAGUUGAGGGAGAUAUAUUUACCAAAAGCCAUUUCGGUUUCAUGGAGGUGGCUAUAUGAUCAAUCCGGUGCAUAUACGGUCUAAGUCGGCAUAUUCAUUUAUGAGUGAUCUUGAUAAUUUGGAUUCACAUGAUACAUUUUUUUGAAGAUAUUUGGUCGUUAAAGAUUCCUCCUAAAAUUAAAUACUUUGUGUGGAGGCUCUUUAGGGAUCUAUUACUGAGUGGUGAUAACCUUACAAAAAGAAAUAUCUUUAAUAAUGGUGAAAUAUGGUUGUGCCCAUUCUACGGAGAGGAAGAAGAAUCAUUGUUUCACACUUUAUUUUGGUGCAAACCUACACUAGAAAUGACAUGCCUGCUGCAAGUGGUGCGGGUUGCAAAGCGUGUUUCCUUGCACUAAGGAACAUUAUCUGAAACAUGUGUUGAUUAAAGAGAAGAAAAAUGUUUGUGAAAAGUCGAAUUGCAUUUGGGUAGGUGUCUUGUGGUCUCUAUGGAAGGCAAGAAACAACACUAUCUUCAGGGGAGGUCUCUUCGAUAAGGACAAGAUCAUGCAAGUUGUCUUUCAUAUGUGGACAUGGCUGAAGAAUUUAGACUCAUCGUUUGGUUAUUCUUAUGACUAAUGGUAUGUAUGUUCUGGUGAGUGUAUAAGAAAUUAAUUGAAUUGGAAGGAAGAGGUGACGUGAAAUAUAUGCUGGGUUAUAAAUGAGGGUCAAUGUAUUUGGUAAAAGGGUGGUUGGGUUUCUAAGUUGUAAUAUUGGGUGAGUAUAGAGGGAGUAAUUGGGACUACUACCGGUAGUUUUGCUACCAUUGGUUAAUAGCUAUUAGUAUUUCACUAUUAGAUACUAAUAGUAUUUAACCUCUGAAAAAGUUGGCUGUAAUUAAAACAUUGGCUGCAAACAUUUCUUAUAUUUGUAUAUGAAAAAUGUUAACUAAUGUCCUAGGGUAAGAACACUGAUUAAAAAAUUAACAUAAAAAGGUUUUUAUUGGGAAAAAAAAUAUGAUGCCAUGAUCAUUUUUGUGUUCCUAUAAUUUUCACAAUAUAUUUUUUUUAUUUCUUAACUAAUUGCGUAGGAUUAGUGGUUAGCAAGAACUUUUUAUAUUUCCCUUUGUAUUUUUUGUCUAGGAAUGAAUAUAUUGAUGUUAGCAAAGGAUAAAGACAGCAGAAAAUAGAAAAAUGUAUGAUAAAUUGCUUGGCUGAGGAAACUUGUUAAUUAGUUUUUCGAACAAUAUACGUCAGGCACCAAAUUAUAUAGGCUACUUCAGAGUAGGUGUUAUACUACCUAAAGCAUAGUUUGAGAAAUCCUUAUUACGAGGAGUGAGGACUAAGGACGUCUUUACAAAUUACAAGCAAAGACUUCUUAAUUUCGUCCAAAACUACUCCAUGUAUUUAGUUGUUUUACGUGAUUUUUUUCGCUCUUAACUUAAAAGUGAAUAAUUAUUAAUUAAUAUUUAGUUGUUUUACUCAAACAAAUCUUCCAUUCUCUUUUCUUCCUUUACCCAAACAUCACCCUUGGGUAUAAAUGAAUAUGUCAUGUAGAAGUAAUUAUCGUUUCAAUGUUAAAGUUCUCGUUUAAAUUAAAUUUAGUUUAAUCUUAAUAUUUCCACACUUUUUCCAUCUUUCUAUAUUAAUUCCAGGAUAUUAUUAUUAAUUCGAUCUAAAUAAUCAGCUUAAUCCGACCCCUAAAAGGUUUAAUAUCAAUCUAGCAAUACGGGCAAUCAAAUUCUUGUCAAAACCAGCCGAGUCGUGAAUUGAUUUUCUUUCUUUUUUCAACAACUCCUACUCAAGUGACUCAAAUUUGCCUGGUUCCAAGAAGCAUAACAAUAAUACAUUAUGUCAUGACUUAGUGGCAACUUAUUACUACAAUAACGCAUUCAAUUCAUUAACCUAAACUAAAUUGGCCAGCAUGGUGCCACGAGCAAUAAACGAAACAAACAAAUAGAGGAAAAAUUCUCCUACUAUUUAGGCAUGAAAUAAUCUCCAACAAUCUGUGGAGUUUAUCUACGUUAUUCAAUGUACAUAGUCCAGAAUCCCUUCACCUAGUUGCAACUCUUUACACACUACACAAACAUUUAAAAUGACAAAUAGUGGCACAUUUUACCUUGUUUCAAUGGCAUCAGUUUCAGAGCCUCUUAAGAAAGAUCUGCGCCACCAAAUUUGGAAUGCCUUGCUUAGAUUCGGACAUUCAGUACCAUGGCUUGAGAAAUACCUAAACCAUUCCAUGAAGAGCAUAUAUUGUUGAUUUAGAGGUAGAGUAAGAAGUGUUUGACCCAUAGCCUCUUGCAAGACCUUUAUAUCAAGCCCUCUUCUACAUCUCUGAAGCCAACCAAAGUCCAAAAGCAUAGGCCGGAACCAUGCCUGAAGAAGCCCCGAUCGAGCUUCCAACCGACAUUGCAAUUUUCUGGUAGCCAUGGCAACAAAGAGAAUCGCUGACACGCGACUUAGUUCAUAUCUAACCAUAGGGGAUGCAUUUUCAUGCAUUUUGAUAAGUUGGUGCUGAUCCGUCCAUAUGUUCACAAAGUCCUCUGCUAUUUGCCCAUCAAGCAUGAUUUCCAACAACCAGUUGAUGUUAUCAACCUGUCUUGAGAUGCGUUCGAUCAAUGGCUUAUUCUUAUCUUUCUUUGUCAACCUUUCAGUGUCAGAUGCCUCCUCAAAGAGGCUUAUCAAUGUGUCCAGACAUGAUUGGCACACAGAAUACAGAUCCUCCUUGCUGAGGUCAAGGUGAUUCUUCUCAUACACUGAGCUUUUGCAAAGAAGACCCUUCACUAGUGUCUUUAGUUCAUUUCUUGCAUUGUUAUCCACACAGGUGGUGAUAGACCAUACAAGUUGUCGAGCCACAUUAGGCUGGGAAGAAGAAUCUACUGAAUCGUGCAAGUAAAGCCUUCCUAGGAUGUCUCUUGUUGUUGCUUCAUCAAACUUGAAUCUUGUGAAUAGACUUCUCAGUUUUUCUUCUUCUUCUUCAGUCCAAGGCACAGCUUCAAGGUAUUGUAAACAAGACAAAACACCCUUGGUGAACAUGAUGCCUGCUGAAACCUAGUAAUGCAAUCAAACAAUCAUGUAAGAGACUAAAGAGGCACCAUUGUGUAGGCUCAACACAAAAAAAGUUGCUUCAAUACCGAAAGUAUCAAAAUUCAUUUUCUAGCGCAUUUUCUUCUAAUUUCAUGCGACCCUUGGAACCUUUCCUAAGGAAACAGUCUAUUCCCUCAAACCAAAAACAUUUCAGGGAAAUAUAAAUAAAAUGAACGCAUUGACAAGCUAUGCAAGAAACCAAUAAAAAAACAUACAUAUCUAAGGGUGUGUUUGAAACACAAUUUAGUCACGUUCAACGCCAACCCACUGUGAGAGAAGGAACAUGCAUUGGAAAGUGGAAUGUGGGUAAUACAAACACGCUCCAACAAAUGUCUUGGAUGUUUAGAGGAAAAAAAAGAGAUAAAACUUAAAACAAUUAUUUAGUUACAUUUUGUGUUAUUCUCCCGUAAAAUAUGAAGUUUAGCUUU